UCAUCUCCGGGGGUAGAGCACUGUUUCGGCAAGGGGGUCAUCCCGACUUACCAACCCGAUGCAAACUGCGAAUACCGGAGAAUGUUAUCACGGGAGACACACGGCGGGUGCUAACGUCCGUCGUGAAGAGGGAAACAACCCAGACCGCCAGCUAAGGUCCCAAAGUCAUGGUUAAGUGGGAAACGAUGUGGGAAGGCCCAGACAGCCAGGAUGUUGGCUUAGAAGCAGCCAUCAUUUAAAGAAAGCGUAAUAGCUCACUGGUCGAGUCGGCCUGCGCGGAAGAUGUAACGGGGCUAAACCAUGCACCGAAGCUGCGGCAGCGACGCUGAUGCGUUGUUGGGUAGGGGAGCGUUCUGUAAGCCUGCGAAGGUGUGCUGUGAGGCAUGCUGGAGGUAUCAGAAGUGCGAAUGCUGACAUAAGUAACGAUAAAGCGGGUGAAAAGCCCGCUCGCCGGAAGACCAAGGGUUCCUGUCCAACGUUAAUCGGGGCAGGGUGAGUCGACCCCUAAGGCGAGGCCGAAAGGCGUAGUCGAUGGGAAACAGGUUAAUAUUCCUGUACUUGGUGUUACUGCGAAGGGGGGACGGAGAAGGCUAUGUUGGCCGGGCGACGGUUGUCCCGGUUUAAGCGUGUAGGCUGGUUUUCCAGGCAAAUCCGGAAAAUCAAGGCUGAGGCGUGAUGACGAGGCACUACGGUGCUGAAGCAACAAAUGCCCUGCUUCCAGGAAAAGCCUCUAAGCAUCAGGUAACAUCAAAUCGUACCCCAAACCGACACAGGUGGUCAGGUAGAGAAUACCAAGGCGCUUGAGAGAACUCGGGUGAAGGAACUAGGCAAAAUGGUGCCGUAACUUCGGGAGAAGGCACGCUGAUAUGUAGGUGAAGUCCCU
This 883-nucleotide ribosomal RNA is filed under the name Escherichia coli. Its description in RNAcentral is "partial 23S ribosomal RNA". It matches the Rfam family "Bacterial large subunit ribosomal RNA", at positions 890 to 1769 of the family's 2925-position model. The record is from RNAcentral. Lineage: Bacteria; Pseudomonadati; Pseudomonadota; Gammaproteobacteria; Enterobacterales; Enterobacteriaceae.